Long non-coding RNA from Megalobrama amblycephala (Wuchang bream), 548 nucleotides. RefSeq lists it as uncharacterized. The record is from RefSeq and is a predicted model, not a curated record. The transcript has 3 exons. Lineage: Eukaryota; Metazoa; Chordata; Actinopteri; Cypriniformes; Xenocyprididae.
AAUCGCCCAUCACUAGAUAUUGUUGAAUAAAGUUGUUAUUUAGUUUAAUAAUCGCAAUAUGCUCCGCAUUUUGUUACUUUCGAUAAGAAACAAAGUGUCAUCUUUCCAAUUCUGUCCAUUUUAUCACGAAAUUCAAACAAAAAAUGCGGUUUUUACUCUCUUUGAUGUUGCGUGGCAGAUCACUGUACAGGCGCCUCAUUUCAAACGGCAGCGUGGAGCACGAGAGAAAGCGGUCAUCUCUUCCUCUUUAAAACUAGCUACAGAAUAAACAUGAAUGAACAUCUGAAGCGUGUGUCCAUCAUGCUUUACUGAGAAGUGGCUCUCAUACUGUGAAAACCACAGACCACAAAUAUAACGGCAACCGACUCAGGGACACCAGUCCUGGGAUCACUGGAGGAUUCACUCUAUAAAAAACUAAAGGUUCACAGCAAGGUCAGUGUCAGUAUUCAUCUAUUUUGAUGGCACUUUCAUUGGCAGGUUUUUAAUUAACAAUUCACUGCUUGUGAAAAAAAUGGCAGUUUAGGGAGAUUUUCAGGAUGAUAAACAGG